This 2925-nucleotide ribosomal RNA is filed under the name Escherichia coli. RNAcentral's name for it is "partial 23S ribosomal RNA". It matches the Rfam family "Bacterial large subunit ribosomal RNA". Lineage: Bacteria; Pseudomonadati; Pseudomonadota; Gammaproteobacteria; Enterobacterales; Enterobacteriaceae. The record is from RNAcentral.
GGGUUGUGAGGUUAAGCGACUAAGCGUACACGGUGGAUGCCCUGGCAGUCAGAGGCGAUGAAGGACGUGCUAAUCUGCGAUAAGCGUCGGUAAGGUGAUAUGAACCGUUAUAACCGGCGAUUUCCGAAUGGGGAAACCCAGUGUGUUUCGACACACUAUCAUUAACUGAAUCCAUAGGUUAAUGAGGCGAACCGGGGGAACUGAAACAUCUAAGUACCCCGAGGAAAAGAAAUCAACCGAGAUUCCCCCAGUAGCGGCGAGCGAACGGGGAGCAGCCCAGAGCCUGAAUCAGUGUGUGUGUUAGUGGAAGCGUCUGGAAAGGCGCGCGAUACAGGGUGACAGCCCCGUACACAAAAAUGCACAUGCUGUGAGCUCGAUGAGUAGGGCGGGACACGUGGUAUCCUGUCUGAAUAUGGGGGGACCAUCCUCCAAGGCUAAAUACUCCUGACUGACCGAUAGUGAACCAGUACCGUGAGGGAAAGGCGAAAAGAACCCCGGCGAGGGGAGUGAAAAAGAACCUGAAACCGUGUACGUACAAGCAGUGGGAGCACGCUUAGGCGUGUGACUGCGUACCUUUUGUAUAAUGGGUCAGCGACUUAUAUUCUGUAGCAAGGUUAACCGAAUAGGGGAGCCGAAGGGAAACCGAGUCUUAACUGGGCGUUAAGUUGCAGGGUAUAGACCCGAAACCCGGUGAUCUAGCCAUGGGCAGGUUGAAGGUUGGGUAACACUAACUGGAGGACCGAACCGACUAAUGUUGAAAAAUUAGCGGAUGACUUGUGGCUGGGGGUGAAAGGCCAAUCAAACCGGGAGAUAGCUGGUUCUCCCCGAAAGCUAUUUAGGUAGCGCCUCGUGAAUUCAUCUCCGGGGGUAGAGCACUGUUUCGGCAAGGGGGUCAUCCCGACUUACCAACCCGAUGCAAACUGCGAAUACCGGAGAAUGUUAUCACGGGAGACACACGGCGGGUGCUAACGUCCGUCGUGAAGAGGGAAACAACCCAGACCGCCAGCUAAGGUCCCAAAGUCAUGGUUAAGUGGGAAACGAUGUGGGAAGGCCCAGACAGCCAGGAUGUUGGCUUAGAAGCAGCCAUCAUUUAAAGAAAGCGUAAUAGCUCACUGGUCGAGUCGGCCUGCGCGGAAGAUGUAACGGGGCUAAACCAUGCACCGAAGCUGCGGCAGCGACGCUGAUGCGUUGUUGGGUAGGGGAGCGUUCUGUAAGCCUGCGAAGGUGUGCUGUGAGGCAUGCUGGAGGUAUCAGAAGUGCGAAUGCUGACAUAAGUAACGAUAAAGCGGGUGAAAAGCCCGCUCGCCGGAAGACCAAGGGUUCCUGUCCAACGUUAAUCGGGGCAGGGUGAGUCGACCCCUAAGGCGAGGCCGAAAGGCGUAGUCGAUGGGAAACAGGUUAAUAUUCCUGUACUUGGUGUUACUGCGAAGGGGGGACGGAGAAGGCUAUGUUGGCCGGGCGACGGUUGUCCCGGUUUAAGCGUGUAGGCUGGUUUUCCAGGCAAAUCCGGAAAAUCAAGGCUGAGGCGUGAUGACGAGGCACUACGGUGCUGAAGCAACAAAUGCCCUGCUUCCAGGAAAAGCCUCUAAGCAUCAGGUAACAUCAAAUCGUACCCCAAACCGACACAGGUGGUCAGGUAGAGAAUACCAAGGCGCUUGAGAGAACUCGGGUGAAGGAACUAGGCAAAAUGGUGCCGUAACUUCGGGAGAAGGCACGCUGAUAUGUAGGUGAAGUCCCUCGCGGAUGGAGCUGAAAUCAGUCGAAGAUACCAGCUGGCUGCAACUGUUUAUUAAAAACACAGCACUGUGCAAACACGAAAGUGGACGUAUACGGUGUGACGCCUGCCCGGUGCCGGAAGGUUAAUUGAUGGGGUCAGCGCAAGCGAAGCUCUUGAUCGAAGCCCCGGUAAACGGCGGCCGUAACUAUAACGGUCCUAAGGUAGCGAAAUUCCUUGUCGGGUAAGUUCCGACCUGCACGAAUGGCGUAAUGAUGGCCAGGCUGUCUCCACCCGAGACUCAGUGAAAUUGAACUCGCUGUGAAGAUGCAGUGUACCCGCGGCAAGACGGAAAGACCCCGUGAACCUUUACUAUAGCUUGACACUGAACAUUGAGCCUUGAUGUGUAGGAUAGGUGGGAGGCUUUGAAGUGUGGACGCCAGUCUGCAUGGAGCCGACCUUGAAAUACCACCCUUUAAUGUUUGAUGUUCUAACGUUGACCCGUAAUCCGGGUUGCGGACAGUGUCUGGUGGGUAGUUUGACUGGGGCGGUCUCCUCCUAAAGAGUAACGGAGGAGCACGAAGGUUGGCUAAUCCUGGUCGGACAUCAGGAGGUUAGUGCAAUGGCAUAAGCCAGCUUGACUGCGAGCGUGACGGCGCGAGCAGGUGCGAAAGCAGGUCAUAGUGAUCCGGUGGUUCUGAAUGGAAGGGCCAUCGCUCAACGGAUAAAAGGUACUCCGGGGAUAACAGGCUGAUACCGCCCAAGAGUUCAUAUCGACGGCGGUGUUUGGCACCUCGAUGUCGGCUCAUCACAUCCUGGGGCUGAAGUAGGUCCCAAGGGUAUGGCUGUUCGCCAUUUAAAGUGGUACGCGAGCUGGGUUUAGAACGUCGUGAGACAGUUCGGUCCCUAUCUGCCGUGGGCGCUGGAGAACUGAGGGGGGCUGCUCCUAGUACGAGAGGACCGGAGUGGACGCAUCACUGGUGUUCGGGUUGUCAUGCCAAUGGCACUGCCCGGUAGCUAAAUGCGGAAGAGAUAAGUGCUGAAAGCAUCUAAGCACGAAACUUGCCCCGAGAUGAGUUCUCCCUGACUCCUUGAGAGUCCUGAAGGAACGUUGAAGACGACGACGUUGAUAGGCCGGGUGUGUAAGCGCAGCGAUGCGUUGAGCUAACCGGUACUAAUGAACCGUGAGGCUUAACCUUACAACGCCGAAG